UGGGGAAUAUUGCACAAUGGGCGGAAGCCUGAUGCAGCGACGCCGCGUGGGGGAUGACGGCCUUCGGGUUGUAAACCUCUUUCAGUGCAGAACAAGGCGCUUUGUGGGUUGAGGGUAUGCGCAGAACAAGCGCCGGCUAACUACGUGCCAGCAGCCGCGGUAAUACGUAGGGGACGAGCGUUGUCCGGAAUUACUGGGCGUAAAGGGCGCGCAGGCUGUGCUGCAAGUCAGCUGUUAAAUGUCUGGGCUUAACCCGGGCAUGCGGUUGAGACUGCGGUGCUGGAGUGCUGUAGAGGCAAGUGGAAUUCCCAGUGUAGCGGUGAAAUGCGUAGAUAUUGGGAAGAACACCGGUGGCGAAGGCGACUUGCUGGGCAGCAACUGACGCUGAGGCGCGAAAGCCAGGGGAGCAAACGGG
This 415-nucleotide ribosomal RNA is filed under the name uncultured prokaryote. RNAcentral describes it as "bacterial SSU rRNA". It matches the Rfam family "Bacterial small subunit ribosomal RNA", at positions 355 to 776 of the family's 1533-position model. The record is from RNAcentral.